UAUAAUUUAAAGUAGGGCCUGCCCACUGAUUUUUUGAAGGGCCGCAGUAUUUUGACUGUGCAAAGGUAGCAUAAUCAUUAGUUUUUUAAUUGAAAGCUAGAAUGAAUGGUUUGAUGAGAAAAUAACUGUCUUAGUUUUAAUAAAAGAACUUUAUUUUUAAGUUAAAAAGCUUAAAUAUUUUUAAAAGACGAGAAGACCCUAUAGAGUUUUAUUUUUAUUUUAAUGUUAAUUUUUAGUAUUAACUUUUUAUAUUAAAAUAAAAAUUUGAUUGGGGUGAUUGAAAAAUUUAAUAAACUUUUUUUAAAUUAAAACAUAGGUAAAUG
This 323-nucleotide ribosomal RNA is filed under the name Stethorus punctillum. RNAcentral describes it as "partial 16S ribosomal RNA". The record is from RNAcentral. Lineage: Eukaryota; Metazoa; Arthropoda; Insecta; Coleoptera; Coccinellidae.